AGGGCAGACCGCUCUAUCGCUGUUUCAGGUAAACUGGAAGAGAGGAAAGUCCGGGCAACGCAGGGCACCAUGCUUCCUAACGGGAAGAAGGGCGAAAGCUUUUAGCCGCGUAACAGAAAAUAACCGUCCGGCCCUGCCGGAUAAGGGUGAAAAGGUGAGGUAAGAGCUCACCGGUUUCGGGGGUGAUCCCGAAAGCCGUACGCGUCAUGGGUUGCAAAGCCAAAUAUAUCACGGCCGGCAAAUGUUGCCGACAGGGUUGCCCGCCCUGUUCUGACCGUCAGGUCAGUCCCGGUUCGUCCGGGAGUCGUGAGGGGUAGGCUGCUAGAUCGCACCAGCAAUGUUGCGGCCAGAUAAAUGAUAGAGGUUUCCGGUUUUCCGGAGAUACAGAACCCGGCUUACAGGUCUGCUUUUUUU
Molecule: RNase P RNA, 414 nt
Filed under: Gaoshiqia sediminis
Lineage: Bacteria; Pseudomonadati; Bacteroidota; Bacteroidia; Marinilabiliales; Prolixibacteraceae
Description: Bacterial RNase P class A
Rfam family: Bacterial RNase P class A
About the family: Ribonuclease P (RNase P) is a ubiquitous endoribonuclease, found in archaea, bacteria and eukarya as well as chloroplasts and mitochondria.
Source: Rfam by way of RNAcentral